RNAcentral lists this ribosomal RNA (710 nucleotides) under uncultured Lachnospiraceae bacterium. RNAcentral describes it as "bacterial SSU rRNA". It matches the Rfam family "Bacterial small subunit ribosomal RNA", at positions 28 to 738 of the family's 1533-position model. The record is from RNAcentral. Lineage: Bacteria; Bacillati; Bacillota; Clostridia; Lachnospirales; Lachnospiraceae.
GAUGAACGCUGGCGGCGUGCUUAACACAUGCAAGUCGAGCGAAGCACUUUUGCGGAUUUCUUCGGAUUGAAGCAACUGUGACUGAGCGGCGGACGGGUGAGUAACGCGUGGGUAACCUGCCUCAUACAGAGGGAUAACAGUUGGAAACGGCUGCUAAUACCGCAUAAGCGCACAGUACCGCAUGGUACGGUGUGAAAAACUCCGGUGGUAUGAGAUGGACCCGCGUCUGAUUAGGUAGUUGGUAGGGUAACGGCCUACCAAGCCGACGAUCAGUAGCCGACCUGAGAGGGUGACCGGCCACAUUGGGACUGAGACACGGCCCAAACUCCUACGGGAGGCAGCAGUGGGGAAUAUUGCACAAUGGGGGAAACCCUGAUGCAGCGACGCCGCGUGAGCGAUGAAGUAUUUCGGUAUGUAAAGCUCUAUCAGCAGGGAAGAAAAUGACGGUACCUGACUAAGAAGCCCCGGCUAACUACGUGCCAGCAGCCGCGGUAAUACGUAGGGGGCAAGCGUUAUCCGGAUUUACUGGGUGUAAAGGGAGCGUAGACGGCAUGGCAAGCCAGAUGUGAAAGCCCGGGGCUCAACCCCGGGACUGCAUUUGGAACUGUCAGGCUAGAGUGUCGGAGAGGAAAGCGGAAUUCCUAGUGUAGCGGUGAAAUGCGUAGAUAUUAGGAGGAACACCAGUGGCGAAGGCGGCUUUCUGGACGAUG